Molecule: ribosomal RNA, 474 nt
Filed under: uncultured Fusibacter sp.
Lineage: Bacteria; Bacillati; Bacillota; Clostridia; Eubacteriales; Fusibacteraceae
Description: bacterial SSU rRNA
Rfam family: Bacterial small subunit ribosomal RNA
Source: RNAcentral
AAAUUGACGGGGACCCGCACAAGCAGCGGAGCAUGUGGUUAAUUCGAAGCAACGCGAAGAACCCUACCAGGUCUUGACAUCCUCUUGCAAGGACCCUAGCCGGCCCCUCCUUCGGGACAAGAGAGACAGGUGGUGCAUGGUUGUCGUCAGCUCGUGUCGUGAGAUGUUGGGUUAAGUCCCGCAACGAGCGCAACCCUUGUGUUUAGUUGCCAACAGGUUAAGCUGUGCACUCUAAACAGACUGCCGUGGAUAACACGGAGGAAGGUGGGAUGACGUCAAAUCAUCAUGCCCCUUAUGAUCUGGGCUACACACGUGCUACAAUGGUCGGUACAACGGGCAGCGAAAGAGCGAUCUGGAGCGAAUCCUAAAAAGCCGAUCCCAGUUCGGAUUGCAGGCUGAAACUCGCCUACAUGAAGUUGGAGUUGCUAGUAACCGCGCGUCAGCUAUAGUGCGGUGAAUACGUUCCCGGGGCUU